Osmerus eperlanus (European smelt) is the source of this 1609-nucleotide long non-coding RNA. RefSeq lists it as uncharacterized. The record is from RefSeq and is a predicted model, not a curated record. The transcript is spliced from 5 exons. NCBI's taxonomy places the organism in Eukaryota, Metazoa, Chordata, Actinopteri, Osmeriformes, Osmeridae.
CAGACGGGGAGACGACCCAGCCAGGCGACGAGGAGACAGGAAACACUGCCUCAGCCGCCACCGUCACCGCAGAAGACGAGCAGGCGGAGAAGAUGGAGACUGACGGAUCAUCGCAGGACCCUGGUGUCUCCCACGGUACGGACCCCGGUGUGUCCCACGAAAAACCUGCAGACUGUGCCAACAGGGAAGUGGAGAUGAAAGCUCCGACCGAGGGCUCGCAAGGAUCUGAUUUAACUCAAACCGACAGCACUCAGUCCAAAGACCCGGGAAAUAAUGAAUAACCAGCGGAGGGGGGACACGCAACCUCAUGGAAGAGCCAGCCAACUGUGUGAGGGUCCACUACACCAGUACCGGAACCAAACAGUCAUGGCCUCUGACACUGGACCUGGGAGGAGAACAAAAGUCGUACACCACACAAACCCAUUCCUGAUUUUACUUAACUUUUGAUCUCUGUUAUGAAAAUUUGUCAUUUGAUUCGUUAUCGAUUGAAUAUGUAUGUAUGUAUAAAACAUAUGCUAGGAAACUUGAACAUAUCAAACCGUAAGAGAUGAGCCAUACUUCACUGAGUGUCAUUGUUGACGAGACAUUCCUGACGAAACCAUGCCGCGCCUGCUGACAAAAAGAUCGGCCAUUUUGAUAAAGAGCUUGUGGGUGCAUGUGCAGUGCAGUAGUAGUCACACUAACCAAACCAUGAAUACAGCAACCAGUAUUCAUACAUGAAAAUAACGUGCAAACAAAAAAACUCAAGAGAAAAGCUGAGCUUCGACCAUCUUUUGUUCCGUUGGAAAAGGUAAAAACAAAAGUUGCGCAGUGUUUUGUUUUGACUGGCUGCAGAGGAGAACUUGUCUGUUGGGCGACAGUUUGAAAGUGUGAAAACGUGCGACGGUUGACAGGUUGUAGAUCUGUACAUCAGAAUCGCUGCUUCAGCUCAGUAGUUGGUUGUCGUUGUCCCACAGUCCAGCGUCUUCGCCGCAGUGUGUUCCGAGCCACGGGCUCCCUGCCCUGCACUGUCACCUCAGCAGAUCACUGAUCAUUAGCAGCCACAUCUGCAGACAAACUCGUUAGACAGGAAGCAUCUCAUCAACGCCUGCCCACACACUUUACAGGAUGCGUGCAUCUUUUGACAGAUUGAUAAUUUAAUUUUUCUUCUUUUUGUUGUUUCCAAUGCAUGCUAGAAAUUCUUUCAACUUCACUGACAUGAACGGGCAUCUUAAGCCCCGGUCUCAUUCUCUUUGUCUUUUAACCAGAUUGUCUGUAAUUGUAUCAAAAGAAUCUGCCUUAUUUCACAUCAGACUUCAUGAACACAAACAGACAAAAAGUGACAAAAGUGCAAAUUCUUGGUUGUGUUUUGCUUGCAGGUGAUUUGUAAUUCUAAGUACCUGAUGUAAUGGCUGAUUCCUGUUGUUUCUUUGAUCUGGUCUAUUGGUUUCAGAAAUUAAGCAAAAAGCGUUAGAAUUUAUUUCCAACGUUAUUACAGUUCAUGGGUUCUUUUCAUCGGUGCCAUACUAUACAUCCAAUCAAAUUAUCAUGAAAUUAUGCCUUCAUAGUUUGGUGUUUGCUUUGCUAAACAAUAAUGAGAUAUAUUAAUAAAAGUUUACGGGGAAGUUUG